Molecule: ribosomal RNA, 253 nt
Filed under: uncultured bacterium
Lineage: Bacteria
Description: partial 16S ribosomal RNA
Rfam family: Bacterial small subunit ribosomal RNA
Source: RNAcentral
UACGUAGGGGGCAAGCGUUGUCCGGAAUCAUUGGGCGUAAAGAGCGUGUAGGCGGUUCAGUAAGUCUGCUGUGAAAGUCCAAGGCUCAACCUUGGGAUGCCGGUGGAUACUGCUGAGCUAGAGUACGGAAGAGGCGAGUGGAAUUCCCGGUGUAGCGGCGAAAUGCGCAGAUAUCGGGAGGAACACCUAUUGCGAAGGCAGCUCGCUGGGACGUCACUGACGCUGAGACGCGAAAGCGUGGGGAGCAAACAGG